Molecule: ribosomal RNA, 584 nt
Filed under: uncultured bacterium
Lineage: Bacteria
Description: bacterial SSU rRNA
Rfam family: Bacterial small subunit ribosomal RNA
Source: RNAcentral
GGAUGGGUGAGUAACACGUGGGGAAUCUGCCCCAUAGUCUGGGAUACCACUUGGAAACAGGUGCUAAUACCGGAUAAGAAAGCAGAUCGCAUGAUCAGCUUUUAAAAGGCGGCGUAAGCUGUCGCUAUGGGAUGGCCCCGCGGUGCAUUAUCUAGUUGGUAAGGUAAAGGCUUACCAAGGCGAUGAUGCAUAGCCGAGUUGAGAGACUGAUCGGCCACAUUGGGACUGAGACACGGCCCAAACUCCUACGGGAGGCAGCAGUAGGGAAUCUUCCACAAUGGACGCAAGUCUGAUGGAGCAACGCCGCGUGAGUGAAGAAGGUUUUCGGAUCGUAAAGCUCUGUUGUUGGUGAAGAAGGAUAGAGGUAGUAACUGGCCUUUAUUUGACGGUAAUCAACCAGGAAGUCACGGCUAACUACGUGCCAGCAGCCGCGGUAAUACGUAGGUGGCAAGCGUUGUCCGGAUUUAUUGUGCGUAAGCGAGCGCACGCGGAAGAAUAAGUCUGAUGUGAAAGCCCUCGGCUUAACCGAGGAACUGCAUCGGAAACUGUUUUUCUUGAUUGCACAAGAGGAGAGUGGAACUCCA